Molecule: transfer RNA, 89 nt
Filed under: Caudoviricetes sp.
Lineage: Duplodnaviria; Heunggongvirae; Uroviricota; Caudoviricetes
Also listed under: 1 other name
Description: tRNA-Ser
Rfam family: tRNA
About the family: Transfer RNA (tRNA) molecules are approximately 80 nucleotides in length. Their secondary structure includes four short double-helical elements and three loops (D, anti-codon, and T loops).
Source: RNAcentral
GGAGGGUUGUCAGAGUUGGUUUAUUGUGUCACUCUUGAAAAGUGAUGUACGUGAUGAGCGUACCAGGGGUUCGAAUCCCUUACCCUCCG